GAGGAAUGUAUAGCAAUAGCUAGUUGCAUCAUUGUUACAAUGAUGCAACAUCGACUAUGUCGAAUAAAAUUCUAGGUAGAAUUAUGAUAAUGACAUUGUCUGCCUAUGUGUCUUGACCAAAUUACGUGCCAGCAGUCGCGGUAAUACGUAGAAGACUAGUGUUAUUCAUGUUUAAUCGGUUUAAAGGGUACCUAGACGGUAAAUCAAGCUUUAUAAGAAAUAUAGUUAAAGGACUAAUUUACUAGAGUUACUUACGAGGGGGCAUUAAAGUACUACUGGUGUAGAGAUGAAAUUCUGUCAUACCUCUUUUCAAAAGAAAAAAUGAAGGCACAGGUAUAGGCGAAGGCAUCUCCUUAUGUGAUAACUGACGUUGAGGGACGAAGGCUUUGUAUAGCGAACAGGAUUAGUUACCCCAGUAGUCGAAGCAGAAAAUGAUGAAUGUCAUAGAUUAGAGGUAAGUUUAUUCUAUAAAUGAAAGUGUAAGCAUUCCACCUCAUGAGUAAUUUGGCAACAUUGGAACUGAAAUCAUUAGACCGUUUCUGAAACCAGUAGUGAAGUAUGUUGUUUAAUUUGAUGAUCCGCAAAAAACCUUACCACAAUUUGAAUAUUUAUAUUUUUUUUUAUUGUUUUCUUAUUAAUUUUCUUCUAAUAACAAGAUGAGGCAAUAAAAUGUUUAUGAGAAAAAAGAAGAAAGUUAAUAUAGAGGCAAUAAGAUAUAUUUACAAGCGUUGCACGGCUGUCUUCAGUUAAUGUCGCGAGACUUUGGUUAGUUCCAUUAAAUUAACGUAAACCCUU
This 795-nucleotide ribosomal RNA is filed under the name Melanohalea aff. exasperata MAF 10230. Its description in RNAcentral is "SSU rRNA". It matches the Rfam family "Bacterial small subunit ribosomal RNA", at positions 356 to 1107 of the family's 1533-position model. The record is from RNAcentral. Lineage: Eukaryota; Fungi; Ascomycota; Lecanoromycetes; Lecanorales; Parmeliaceae.